UGGGGAAUCUUGCGCAAUGGGGGAAACCCUGACGCAGCGACGCCGCGUGCGGGAUGAAGGCCUUCGGGUUGUAAACCGCUUUCAGCAGGGACGAGGCCUUAUGGUGACGGUACCUGCAGAAGAAGCUCCGGCUAAAUACGUGCCAGCAGCCGCGGUAAUACGUAUGGAGCAAGCGUUAUCCGGAUUCAUUGGGCGUAAAGCGCUCGUAGGCGGUCUGUUAGGUCGGCAAGUUAAAUCCGGGGGCUCAACCCCCGUCCGCUUCCGAUACCGGCAGACUUGAGUUUGGUAGGGGAAGGUGGAAUUCCAAGUGUAGCGGUGAAAUGCGCAGAUAUUUGGAAGAACACCGGUGGCGAAGGCGGCCUUCUGGGCCACGACUGACGCUGAGGCGCGAAAGCUAGGGGAGCGAACAGG
RNAcentral lists this ribosomal RNA (411 nucleotides) under Verrucomicrobiota bacterium. Its description in RNAcentral is "Verrucomicrobia bacterium partial 16S ribosomal RNA". It matches the Rfam family "Bacterial small subunit ribosomal RNA", at positions 355 to 776 of the family's 1533-position model. Lineage: Bacteria; Pseudomonadati; Verrucomicrobiota. The record is from RNAcentral.